CAGUCGCCGCGGUAACACGAAGGGUGCAAGCGUUAAUCGGAAUUACUGGGCGUAAAGCGUGCGUAGGCGGUUUGUUAAGUCUGCUGUGAAAUCCCCGGGCUCAACCUGGGAAUGGCAGUGGAUACUGGCAAGCUAGAGUGUGUCAGAGGAUGGUGGAAUUCCCGGUGUAGCGGUGAAAUGCGUAGAGAUCGGGAGGAACAUCAGUGGCGAAGGCGGCCAUCUGGGACAACACUGACGCUGAGGCACGAAAGCGUGGGGAGCAAACAGGAUUAGAUACCCGUGUAGUCCCUGUCUCUUAUAC
Molecule: ribosomal RNA, 301 nt
Filed under: uncultured bacterium
Lineage: Bacteria
Description: partial 16S ribosomal RNA
Rfam family: Bacterial small subunit ribosomal RNA
Source: RNAcentral